AUAGGUAAUUUCGCUUUACCUUUGAUGGGAAUGACGGCCACCGCUUGGCUUUAGGAAAACUUUGCGCUGCUUCUCUGCCUUCCCUUUGUUUAGAAUUGCCAUCGCUUCUCCUUCUUCAUCAUUUGAUCCGCCAUCCUUAUGACUUUAAAGACUUUGUGUUCAUUAACGGAAGAUCGAUUUUCUAAAAUAAAAAAUGAUACUGUAACAGAAAAUUGGGGGUUUUGCUGAGUUUCUUCACACUUCCUGCUCCAUUAAGAUCAUAGUAAAAAGUAUGUUCAAAUGCUACAUAACCUAUUCCAUGGUAAACGUUACAGCAGGUACCUUGGGAAACAAACUUUUAGGAUCAAAACAAGUAUGCUAUUAAUAUCGUAUCUUCAUGGACUCAAAGGAGUAAAUCUGCCACUCCUAAUCAAAGGUAUUGAAAAUCGAGUACUCAAUAUUAUAUUUUAAAAUUUCAAAUUGCCACAAACAAUUGUAUAUUUGACAAUACCUUAUGGUGGUUAUUUGUCAUUGAAAGUACUAUAAAACCUCUUUUAUGUUAUCUGUUGCUUGCUUAUGCUUCUGGUAUAAUAAGAACGAUUAUUGAGCUGGGUACUGUAGGUGAUACUCAAAAGAGAAAGACAGGUUGCUUUACUUGAAGAUACACAUUUUCUAUAUUUUUGGGUAUUGCAUCAAAAAUACCUGGUUGUAGCUACUGAUGGUUGACUAGAUAGCAGUGGCGUUGUAGAUUCUUUUUA
Molecule: long non-coding RNA, 737 nt
Organism: Nicotiana attenuata
Lineage: Eukaryota; Viridiplantae; Streptophyta; Magnoliopsida; Solanales; Solanaceae
Exons: 3
Source: RefSeq, a predicted model, not a curated record